CCUACGGGAGGCAGCAGUGAGGAAUAUUGGUCAAUGGACGAGAGUCUGAACCAGCCAAGUAGCGUGAAGGAUGACUGCCCUAUGGGUUGUACACUUCUUUUAUAUGGGAAUAAAAUGUUCCACGUGUGGCAUUUUGUAUGUACCAUAUGAAUAAGGAUCGGCUAACUCCGUGCCAGCAGCCGCGGUAAUACGGCGGAUCCGAGCGUUAUCCGGAUUUAUUUGUCUUAAAGGGAGCGUAGGUGGAUCCUUAAGUCAGUUGUGCAAGUUUGCGGCUCAACCGUGAAAUUGCAGUUGAAACUGGCAGUCUUGAGUACAGUAGAGGUGGGCGGAAUUCGUGGUGUAGCGGUGAAAUGCUUAGAUAUCACGAAGAACUCAGAUUGCGAAGGCAGCUCACUGGACUGAAACUGACACUGAGGCUCGAAAGUGUGGGUAUCAAACAGGAUUAGAUACCCUUGUAGUC
Molecule: ribosomal RNA, 460 nt
Filed under: uncultured bacterium
Lineage: Bacteria
Description: partial 16S ribosomal RNA
Rfam family: Bacterial small subunit ribosomal RNA
Source: RNAcentral